Molecule: ribosomal RNA, 587 nt
Filed under: uncultured bacterium
Lineage: Bacteria
Description: bacterial SSU rRNA
Rfam family: Bacterial small subunit ribosomal RNA
Source: RNAcentral
CCUACGGGAGGCAGCAGUGGGGAAUUUUGGACAAUGGGCGCAAGCCUGAUCCAGCAAUGCCGCGUGAGUGAAGAAGGCCUUCGGGUUGUAAAGCUCUUUUGUCAGGGAAGAAACGGUGGGGGCUAAUAUCUCCUACUAAUGACGGUACCUGAAGAAUAAGCACCGGCUAACUACGUGCCAGCAGCCGCGGUAAUACGUAGGGUGCAAGCGUUAAUCGGAAUUACUGGGCGUAAAGCGUGCGCAGGCGGUUUUGUAAGUCUGUCGUGAAAGCCCCGGGCUCAACCUGGGAAUUGCGAUGGAGACUGCAAGGCUUGAAUCUGGCAGAGGGGGGUAGAAGUUCCACAUGUAGCAGUGAAAUGCGUAGAGAUGUGGAGGAACACCGAUGGCGAAGGCAGCCCCCUGGGUCAAGAUUGACGCUCAUGCACGAAAGCGUGGGGAGCAAACAGGAUUAGAUACCCUGGUAGUCCACGCCCUAAACGAUGUCUACUAGUUGUCGGGUUUUAAUUAACUUGGUAACGCAGCUAACGCGUGAAGUAGACCGCCUGGGGAGUACGGUCGCAAGAUUAAAACGUCAAAGGAAUUGACGG